GUUGACGACCAUAUCACGUUGAAAACUCCCGUUCAAUCACCAAAGUUAAGUAAUGCUGAGCUCAUUUAGUACUUGCAUGAGUGACCACCCGCGAAUACUGUGUGUUGCCGGCU
Molecule: ribosomal RNA, 113 nt
Filed under: Trichobilharzia regenti
Lineage: Eukaryota; Metazoa; Platyhelminthes; Trematoda; Strigeidida; Schistosomatidae
Source: RNAcentral